This is a long non-coding RNA of Macadamia integrifolia, 362 nucleotides long. RefSeq lists it as uncharacterized. The record is from RefSeq and is a predicted model, not a curated record. The transcript has 2 exons. NCBI's taxonomy places the organism in Eukaryota, Viridiplantae, Streptophyta, Magnoliopsida, Proteales, Proteaceae.
GGGGCUUGAAGCACAAGGGUUAUCUCCCCUUAUUUCUUGAUUAAAGCCUGGUUUAAGAUGAUGAUGCAGGUACGGUUGUGCCCAUGGCUAGUGAUUCUCUAUCCUCCAGACCUGAGUAUGGAGUGAACGACUGGUGGAUGUUGGAUGUUAAGGAGCAUAGCCAAGACUGUGCUUGUGACUUCUGUGCAUACGCGGCGCCAUGAGGUGUUCGGCGUAUUUUUUAUUAUUGUGAUACAGGUCUAUGGAUAGUAUGUUUUUAAACUUGAUAUGUAUAUGUCUUGAAGGAUUGCAACAGGAUAAGUCAGUUAUGAAUAUUAUGUUUAUCAUUAGAUAAUUUCCUCAUUUUAUUGAUGAUUAUGCUA